GGUCCGGACACACUGAGGAUUGACAGGAAGUAUCGUCUUUUGAAUUCUUUAAGGAUAUGUCGUUUUUAAUGACAUCUUUUAGAUGGAUGAUUCGUGUAAAUAUGCUAGUUCUUUCAUGAUUAUGUGAUAGGUGGUGCAUGGCCGUUCUUAGUUCGUGGAGUGAUCUGUCUGCUUAAUUGCGUUUCACUAAGGCCCCAAAGUUAGCAAAUUAUCAAUCGUUACAGAGUCGACCCCUCACCUUUGAGUGCGCGUCCUAACUUGUAGUACAUGGUGUAAAUGGAUUUGUUUUGGGUACCCAGAAAGCAACGAACGUGACCGCAACGUCUUGUUGUCUCUCUUUUGACAGUUAUGGGUUAUCCCAGUCAUGUGUUUAUACUUUUAUGUGUAAAUACGUACGACACAGAGACUAGAUACCAAACUAGGCGUACCGCUGUAUCAUUUCUUUAAACCAGAGGAAGGUUGCGGCAAUAACAG
Molecule: ribosomal RNA, 474 nt
Filed under: Neogloboquadrina incompta
Lineage: Eukaryota; Foraminifera; Rotaliida; Globorotaliidae
Description: bacterial SSU rRNA
Rfam family: Eukaryotic small subunit ribosomal RNA
Source: RNAcentral